GGGCACGAAACUAGGUGCUGCAUGGUGUCGUCAGCUCGUGCCGUGAGGUGUCGGCUUAAGUGCCAUAACGAGCGCAACCCUUGUCGUUAGUUGCCAGCGGGUAAUGCCGGGAACUCUAGCGAGACUGCUACUGUAAGGUAGAGGAAGGUGGGGAUGACGUCAAAUCAGCACGGCCCUUACGUCCGGGGCGACACACGUGUUACAAUGGUAGGUACAGAGGGUUGCUACUUGGCGACAAGAUGCUAAUCUCAUAAAACCUAUCUCAGUUCGGAUCGGAGUCUGCAACUCGACUCCGUGAAGCUGGAUUCGCUAGUAAUCGCGCAUCAGCCAUGGCGCGGUGAACACGUUCCCGGGCCUUGUACACACCGCCCGUCAAGCCAUGGAAGCUGGGGGUACCUGAAGUCCGUGCCCGCAAGGAGCGGCCUAGGGUAAAACUGGUAACUGGGGCUAAGUCGUAACAAGGUAACCUA
RNAcentral lists this ribosomal RNA (470 nucleotides) under uncultured bacterium. RNAcentral's name for it is "bacterial SSU rRNA". It matches the Rfam family "Bacterial small subunit ribosomal RNA", at positions 1024 to 1503 of the family's 1533-position model. The record is from RNAcentral.